GCAGUCUGCAACUCGACUGUACGAAGCUGGAAUCGCUAGUAAUCGCGGAUCAGCACGCCGCGGUGAAUACGUUCCCGGGCCUUGUACACACCGCCCGUCACACCAUGGGAGUCAGCAACGCCCGAAGCCGGUGACCCAACCGAAAGGAGGGAGCCGUCGAAGGUGGGGCCGAUAACUGGGGUGAAGUCGUAACAAGGUACC
This 201-nucleotide ribosomal RNA is filed under the name uncultured bacterium. RNAcentral's name for it is "partial 16S ribosomal RNA". It matches the Rfam family "Bacterial small subunit ribosomal RNA", at positions 1300 to 1500 of the family's 1533-position model. The record is from RNAcentral.